This 468-nucleotide ribosomal RNA is filed under the name uncultured bacterium. RNAcentral describes it as "partial 16S ribosomal RNA". It matches the Rfam family "Bacterial small subunit ribosomal RNA", at positions 28 to 507 of the family's 1533-position model. The record is from RNAcentral.
GACGAACGCUGGCGGCGUGCUUAACACAUGCAAGUCGAACGGAAAGGCCCUGCUUUUGUGGGGUGCUCGAGUGGGGAACGGGUGAGUAAGACGUGAGUAACCUGCCCUUGACUUUGGGAUAACUUCAGGAAACUGGGGUUAAUACCGGAUAGGAGCUUCUGCUGCAUGGUGGGGGUGGGAAAGUUUCGGCUGUGGGGGAUGGACUCGCGGCUUAACAGCUUGUUGGGGGGGUAGUGCCUUACCAAGGCUUUGACGGGUAGCCGGCCUGAGAGGGUGACCGGCCACAUUGGGACUGAGAUACGGCCCCGACGCCUACUAGAGGCAGCAGUGGGGAAUCUUGCACAAUGGGCGGCAGCCUGAUGCAGCAACCCCGCGUGCGGUAUAGCGGCCUUCGGGUUGUAAACCGCUUUCGCCUUUGACGAAGCGUUAGUGACCGUAACGGGUAGAAAAGACCCGGCUAACUACGUG